GACGAACGCUGGCGGCGUGCUUAACACAUGCAAGUCGAACGGUAAGGCCCUUCGGGGUACACGAGUGGCGAACGGGUGAGUAACACGUGGGUGAUCUGCCCUGCACUUCGGGAUAAGCCUGGGAAACUGGGUCUAAUACCGGCUAGGACUCCUGGCUUCAUGGUUGGGGGUGGAAAGCUUUUGCGGUGUGGGAUGGGCCCGCGGCCUAUCAGCUUGUUGGUGGGGUAAAGGCCUACCAAGGCGACGACGGGUAGCCGGCCUGGGAGGGUGACCGGUCACACUGGGACUGAGAUACGGCCCAGACUCCUACGGGAGGCAGCAGUGGGGAAUAUUGCACAAUGGGCGCAAGCCUGAUGCAGCGACGCCGCGUGAGGGAUGACGGCCUUCGGGUCGUAAACCUCUUUCAGCUAUGACGAAGCGCAAGUGACGGUAGUAGCAGAAGAAGGACCGGCCAACUACGUGCCAGCAGCCGCCGUAA
RNAcentral lists this ribosomal RNA (478 nucleotides) under uncultured bacterium. RNAcentral describes it as "partial 16S ribosomal RNA". It matches the Rfam family "Bacterial small subunit ribosomal RNA", at positions 28 to 523 of the family's 1533-position model. The record is from RNAcentral.